AUACGGAGGGGGCUAGCGUUGUUCGGAAUUACUGGGCGUAAAGCGCGCGUAGGCGGCUUAUCAAGUUAGGCGUGAAAGGCCUGGGCUCAACCCGGGAACUGCGCUUAAUACUGGUAGACUUGAGUCCGGGAGAGGGUGGCGGAAUUCCCAGUGUAGAGGUGAAAUUCGUAGAUAUUGGGAAGAACACCAGUGGCGAAGGCGGCUCACUGGCUCGGUACUGACGCUGAGGUGCGAAAGCGUGGGGAGCAAUCAGGAUUAGAUACCCCGGUAGUCC
Molecule: ribosomal RNA, 274 nt
Filed under: uncultured bacterium
Lineage: Bacteria
Description: partial 16S ribosomal RNA
Rfam family: Bacterial small subunit ribosomal RNA
Source: RNAcentral